RNAcentral lists this ribosomal RNA (441 nucleotides) under uncultured bacterium. RNAcentral describes it as "partial 16S ribosomal RNA". It matches the Rfam family "Bacterial small subunit ribosomal RNA", at positions 338 to 795 of the family's 1533-position model. The record is from RNAcentral.
CCUACGGGUGGCAGCAGUGGGGAAUAUUGGGCAAUGGGCGCAAGCCUGACCCAGCAACGCCGCGUGAAGGAAGAAGGCCCUCGGGUUGUAAACUUCUUUUGUCAGGGACAAAAGAUGACGGUACCCACAGAGGAAGCACCGGCUAACUCCGUGCCAGCAGCCGCGGUAAUACGGAGGGUGCAAGCGUUGUCCGGAAUCAUUGGGCGUAAAGAGUUCGUAGGCGGUAUGUUAAGUCUGGUGUUAAAUGCAGAAGCUCAACUUCUGUUCGGCACUGGAUACUGGCAAACUAGAAUGCGGUAGAGGUAAAGGGAAUUCCUGGUGUAGCGGUGAAAUGCUUAGAUAUCAGGAGGAACAUCGGUGGCGUAAGCGCUUUACUGGGCCGUAAUUGACGCUGAGGAACGAAAGCCAGGGUAGCAAAUGGGAUUAGAUACCCUGGUAGUC